CAGUCGAGCGAACGGACGAGAGUGCUUGCACUCUCUGAUGUUAGCGGCGGACGGGUGAGUAACACGUGGGUAACCUACCUAUAAGACUGGGAUAACUUCGGGAAACCGGAGCUAAUACCGGAUAAUAUUUAGCUUCGCAUGAAGCAAUAGUGAAAGACGGUUCUGCUGUCACUUAUAGAUGGACCCGCGGUGUAUUAGCUAGUUGGUGAGGUAACGGCUCACCAAGGCAACGAUACAUAGCCGACCUGAGAGGGUGAUCGGCCACACUGGGACUGAGACACGGCCCAGACUCCUACGGGAGGCAGCAGUAGGGAAUCUUCCGCAAUGGACGAAAGUCUGACGGAGCAACGCCGCGUGAGUGAAGAAGGUUUUCGGAUCGUAAAACUCUGUUGUAAGGGAAGAACAAGUACGUUAGUAACUGAACGUACCUUGACGGUACCUUACCAGAAAGCCACGGCUAACUACGUGCCAGCAGCCGCGGUAAUACGUAGGUGGCAAGCGUUAUCCGGAAUUAUUGGGCGUAAAGCGCGCGUAGGCGGUCUCUUAAGUCUGAUGUGAAAGCCCCCGGCUCAACCGGGGAGGGUCAUUGGAAACUGGGAGACUUGAGUGCAGAAGAGGAGAGUGGAAUUCCAUGUGUAGCGGUGAAAUGCGCAGAGAUAUGGAGGAACACCAGUGGCGAAGGCGGCUCUCUGGUCUGUAACUGACGCUGAGGUGCGAAAGCGUGGGGAUCAAACAGGAUUAGAUACCCUGGUAGUCCACGCCGUAAACGAUGAGUGCUAAGUGUUGGGGGGUUUCCGCCC
This 800-nucleotide ribosomal RNA is filed under the name Macrococcoides caseolyticum. RNAcentral's name for it is "bacterial SSU rRNA". It matches the Rfam family "Bacterial small subunit ribosomal RNA", at positions 59 to 839 of the family's 1533-position model. Lineage: Bacteria; Bacillati; Bacillota; Bacilli; Caryophanales; Staphylococcaceae. The record is from RNAcentral.